UUUGGAAACAGGUGCUAAUACCGGAUAAGAAAGCGGAUCGCAUGAUCAGCUUUUAAAAGGCGGCGUAAGCUGUCGCUAUGGGAUGGCCCCGCGGUGCAUUAGCUAGUUGGUAAGGUAAAGGCUUACCAAGGCGAUGAUGCAUAGCCGAGUUGAGAGACUGAUCGGCCACAUUGGGACUGAGACACGGCCCAAACUCCUACGGGAGGCAGCAGGC
Molecule: ribosomal RNA, 214 nt
Filed under: uncultured Lactobacillus sp.
Lineage: Bacteria; Bacillati; Bacillota; Bacilli; Lactobacillales; Lactobacillaceae
Description: partial 16S ribosomal RNA
Rfam family: Bacterial small subunit ribosomal RNA
Source: RNAcentral